GACGAACGCUGGCGGCGUGCUUAACACAUGCAAGUCGAACGGGACGGCCCUGCUUUUGUGCGGUGCUCGAGUUGCGAACUGGUGAGUAACACGUGAGUACCCAGCCCUUGACUUUGGGAUAACUUAAUGACACUGGGUCUAUUCCCGGAUAGGAUCUCCUGCUGCAUGGUGGGGGCUGGUUAGUUUCGGCGGUUGGUGAUGGACUCGCGGCGUAUGAGCUUGUUGGUUGGGUAGUGGCUUACCAAGGCUAUGACGGGUAGCCGGCCUGGGAGGGUGACCGGCCACACUGGGACGGGGAUACGGCACAGACUCGUAUGGGACGCAGGGGUGGGGAAGAGUGCAUAAGGGGCGGAAGCCUGAUGUAGCAACGCCGCGUGCGGGAUGAGAGCAAGGGGGUUGGAAAGCGAUGCUGCUUUACCCGAGGUGAGAAUGACAGUAAUGGGUAAAGAAGCACCGGCUAACUACGUG
This 468-nucleotide ribosomal RNA is filed under the name uncultured bacterium. RNAcentral describes it as "partial 16S ribosomal RNA". It matches the Rfam family "Bacterial small subunit ribosomal RNA", at positions 28 to 507 of the family's 1533-position model. The record is from RNAcentral.